UGUUGCCACAAGAUGUUCAUCUACUUGUU
Molecule: non-coding RNA, 29 nt
Filed under: Mus musculus (house mouse)
Lineage: Eukaryota; Metazoa; Chordata; Mammalia; Rodentia; Muridae
Source: RNAcentral